UGAAAAACUCUUUGUAAAUAAUCCCAUUUAUGAAACUCCCGAAAGAGAGGUCUGGUUGCCAAGCUUCCUUUAAUGUUAUCUAAGUACUAGCUAAACAUUACUAGCAGAGUACAUUUUAAUUGGUUGUGUAACAGUUGAAGCAUAUUGCCCAGAAGGUAAGCAGUUCAAAAAUCCUGAUCUAGAUUUAUGAUCUCUUGUACCCAAAGAGGAUCCUUGUAACUAUGAGAAUGAUGAGUUACUGCCAAGGCUAAAGGCAGAUUAUUUCAACUAUGAAUAUAUAGCAAUAUUCUUCUCAGCAUAUAUAUAUAUGCAAGAUAAGUUAGAUUGAAGUGUUCCAUAUUUAUAUAAGCUGUAUUGCAUGCAAAGAAAUAUGCAGUAGUUUAACAAGUGUGAUGAUUGCCCGUAUGAAAUGAUGGGGCUUUCUGUGCUCCUAAAUCAGGGUACGUCAGGAAAUGAAUUUAACUAGUCAAGAAUCUUGUUUCACUCAGUGGCCAGCGACAUCCCUAUGCAAAAUCAGCAGACAAGGAGCAAAACAGCAUCUGCUUUGGUCAACCACUCUUUAGAGAUAUAUAUGUCAAUGUAUCAAUUUCAGCAGUUCUAGUUGUUGUUUUUUAAAAAAAUAUCUAGACUCCUAGUCAUUGUUUAUGAAGUAUUUUAUAAAGUUUCUGGCAUAUUUAUACACCUGGUAUCUACAGUUAGAAGAUCUUUGCAUACAUUUUACUUAGUUGUUCAAGCUAUAUUGCUACAAUAUUGUUUGAAUGUACUAUUACAUAGUUUCAGCAAAACUUAAAACACCUCUUGUAUACAGUGAAGAAAUGCAGCACAUAAAAACAACUUGAACAACUUGAAGAGAGGACCCUGCAACAGCCAAAAUCCAAAAAGCAUGAAGAAAACAGACCCAAAUAUAUAAACACAACUCGGUUCUCAAGCCUUACAUUUCAAGAACACUGCCAAAUGAUGUGCAGGAAAGUUUUGUAAGUUAAAAUAAACCUUGUCAUGCCAAAAGUACCAGGAUUUAGUAAGUCCUGCA
Molecule: non-coding RNA, 1030 nt
Organism: Pseudonaja textilis
Lineage: Eukaryota; Metazoa; Chordata; Lepidosauria; Squamata; Elapidae
Source: RefSeq, a predicted model, not a curated record